Mangifera indica (mango) is the source of this 602-nucleotide long non-coding RNA. RefSeq lists it as uncharacterized. The transcript is spliced from 3 exons. The record is from RefSeq and is a predicted model, not a curated record. Lineage: Eukaryota; Viridiplantae; Streptophyta; Magnoliopsida; Sapindales; Anacardiaceae.
AGGGGCUUUGUUUCUGCCAUCUUAACUGAUUUUAUCCUCAAAUUUUGUUGAAGGUGGAGGCCUUGCAAUGCUGAGUAUAAGAUUUUUGGUAUUUUACUUUAAUGGUCUGCUGUACUUGAUGCUGUUUCAUUUAUUUUACCAGAUCUAAUGAUCAAGAUGCAUCUAUACUGCUAGGAAUCCUACAUUGGUUGAGAAUUGAUUCGGAAAACUAUCCAGUGUAUCGCUCAGAAGAAUUAGACAAUGGCUCCAGAAAUAGCAAUGGCUUGUGUCUCUGAAGUUGCAUCAAAGGCUACAUCAGAUUUGUGUGAUUUGCUAACACAGCAAAUCUCUUAUUUCAGAUACAAGAAAACCUGUCAUUUUUAUCCUCAAUAAUUGGUUUAAAUCAUGCCGGCAUGUUUUAAAUUGUUGUGUGGUUUUGGUUUUAGACGGAUUGAUUCAGCCAAUUCAAGUGCCAGUCAAUCCAAUCCAAAGGCUAGAACAAGUUUUGCUGACUGACUGUCGAGUCCCAGUUCGGCCAAAUAGUCCAGCUUUUAAUAUAAUGUGUGGUAGGCAUGUAAAACAAGACGGCAAGUUACCCGGUAUAAGAAAUCAAAACAAACAAC